Molecule: long non-coding RNA, 834 nt
Filed under: Monodelphis domestica (gray short-tailed opossum)
Lineage: Eukaryota; Metazoa; Chordata; Mammalia; Didelphimorphia; Didelphidae
Description: lncRNA (ENSMODG00000040425.1)
Source: RNAcentral
GUGUAAGACUUUCAAGUCAAAUCGGAUUCUAUAACUCCAGCCCUGUGUUUUGGUCUUUUAGAAGCACUGCUCGCUCAGUCAUCUAUCACAUUAGAACUCUAUUCCACCUUUGCAUCACUGGCAAAAUUGGUGUGCAUCCUGCUUUGCCUGUAUUAAAGUCAUCAAUACAAAAGCUAAGGAGCAGAUUCCUAGAGGACACGUUCCAAGUUGACCUGGGGCCAUCUGCCCAUUCCAUUGGAAUCGACCUGACUUAGUAUCCUUUCCAUCAGAGAGACUAUGGAGAGAUUUGAUUAUUUCUCUCUCUGAUUUCCCAGUUUGGUAACCAAUGAAAAGAAAAAGCAUUUGACUCAGUGGAACAAAGGACUGCCUUACAGGCUCCUUUACCAGAAGGUGCCUCAUAGCCAUCCAUCAAUCAAAAUCAUUCCAGAUUUCUUAGAAGAUGUAACAACAAAAACAUCCCUUUUUGAUGACUCUCAUGAUAAACAUCAGCACUCACUCAUCUCUCACUUGGACUACUGUAAAAACCUUUUGAUUGAUCUCUCUGCCUUCAAGAGCUUCAAUAGAUCAAUACGGUCCUGUCGGAUGGAUCCUUCUUUGUGCACAUGUGUGCAACCUCUCAGACUGGUUAACAGCCGCCUGUAUCCCAGGGACUUUGCUGGGGAUACAGGGAGGAAAAACAAGAGCAUCCCUGACCUCUAGGCAUUUGCUGUCUAUACGUAUUGCUGAUGAAGAUUUGUUGAUUGAUUAAAGGAUAGUGAAGAGACAGCAUGUGCACAGGUAAGAGGGAGUGAUGGAGGCAAAGGGGAGUUCCAGACAAGAUGCUUUAGGAAAAUC